This 391-nucleotide ribosomal RNA is filed under the name Heliosciurus rufobrachium (red-legged sun squirrel). RNAcentral's name for it is "partial 12S ribosomal RNA". It matches the Rfam family "Bacterial small subunit ribosomal RNA", at positions 796 to 1384 of the family's 1533-position model. Lineage: Eukaryota; Metazoa; Chordata; Mammalia; Rodentia; Sciuridae. The record is from RNAcentral.
UUAGCCUUAAACAUAAAUAUUCAAAUAACAAGAAUAUUCGCCAGAGUACUACUAGCAACAGCCUAAAACUCAAAGGACUUGGCGGUGCCUUACAUCCCUCUAGAGGAGCCUGUUCUAUAAUCGAUAAACCCCGAUACACCUCACCACUCUUAGCACUCAACCAGUCUAUAUACCGCCAUCUUUAGCAAACCCUAACAAGGCCUCAUAGUAAGCACAAGAACUAUAAGUUAAAACGUUAGGUCAAGGUGUAACCCAUAGAGUGGGAAGCAAUGGGCUACAUUUCCUGUCCACAGGACACACACGACAACUUUUAUGAAAACCAAAAGUCCAAGGUGGAUUUAGUAGUAAGCCAGAAAUAGAGCGUCUGACUGAAUCGGGUAAUAAGGCGCGC